UAAAAAUAUAAUAUCUACUCGCAUUCGUAGAUAGAAAACAAUGAAAGCCAGUGCCAAAGCCAACGCCAAAGCGGUUUGAUCUUGAAAUCGUUCACACAUUUGUCUAAAUUGUUUGAGUUAUGCGAGUUUUCCCCCCAGAGGUUGUUUUGUGUGCACUUAAUCCGUCAUUGGAGUGGAUUGAAUGGAUCGGAACGGCCAGCACUUCUUCAAUGCUAAAACCCGUUUCGAAGCCAAAUAACAGUUACGACAUAUUGAUAGAUAUACAUUUCGAUUGGGGAAGGAACUACGCAACAGAAUGGCGACCACAAAACAGCAACAACAUCUACUACUACAGCAACUACUACACAAAACAACAAAAAUAACAGGUUGGAAUCAUAAGGCGACUGCCUUAUGGAUGGCACAGUGAAGACUCUAAAGAGGGGAGGCUAGACUCCAAACUAAAGCCAUAUUUACAUAUGAUAUUAUUCAGAAAUAUGGUAGAAAUAGCAUACAUUUCGAUUUACUCAUUUGUAGGAUUGUAUACCGCCCAAGAAAAAUCUAUACCAUACGCAUCAUAGCUCUGGACUGUGUUAUCGUAUGUUAUCGAAUUAUAUCGAUUUCUAUGUUUGCUAAAAAUCGAAUAUACUUUUGCUAUUGAUUGAAAUAAAGUAUUUCCAUAUCGAAAUUGGUUUUAUGAUCAAUUCUAUAUGGUUAAAAAAACAUUUUGUUAUCGAAAUCGGGCUAAAUAUCCGUUUUAAUAUCGAUCUAGGACUAAAUAUCGCUGUAUCUGUCCAUAGCCCGCUGAUUUCAUCCUAGUAUAUUACCUGCAGAUUGUCUCCUGCAUAAAACGAUUGUUUAUAAAAUUCCAAUUUCAAUAAAUAAUCGAUAAAUCGAUAGUUUAUCAUUCCUA
This is a long non-coding RNA of Drosophila miranda, 889 nucleotides long. RefSeq lists it as uncharacterized. The record is from RefSeq and is a predicted model, not a curated record. The transcript is spliced from 2 exons. Lineage: Eukaryota; Metazoa; Arthropoda; Insecta; Diptera; Drosophilidae.